Non-coding RNA from Chlorocebus sabaeus (green monkey), 1594 nucleotides. The record is from RefSeq and is a predicted model, not a curated record. Lineage: Eukaryota; Metazoa; Chordata; Mammalia; Primates; Cercopithecidae.
UUAAAAUGCCUGAGUUUAUUUAAUUUAUUUAACAUUAUGAUGUAGGUAUUAUUAUUAUCUCUAUUUUACAGAUGAGAAAACUUAAGAUUAGAAAAAAUUAUGCAGCUUGCCUAGAAUAUGGCUUCUAGCAAAUGUUGUAAAGGAACUCAGAUCUGCCCAUUCCCAGAGCCUGAGGUCUUGAUCUAUUCUGCUGACUUAAAUUCUUUAUCAUUGGUUUCAUACCCUGAAGCUUGGGAACUCCUGUGGAGCCCUGGAGUGAUGUUUAAGGAAUACUUCAGUGAGCUGUACACACUACAACUCCCAUAUUGUAUUGUAGUUUUAAAAAAUAGUUUCUUUAAAAUAAAUGCAAGAGGGGUCUCUGAACAAUACACUCAGGUCUCUGAACAAACUGGCUGAAUUGACCAUGAACUAUUUUUCUAGCAUUUGGACUUUAACAGAAGCAGAGCAAACUUGGGAUGACCACACCCUUCCUGGGCUUCAAGGACUUUAAAAAUGUCCUGGCUGCCCCAGAAGGUGGAGAGCUCUGCAUUUCAGCAUUGGUGGUAUUCUCUGCUGGUUGAAUGCAAAUGGAAGCCUGAGGAAAAGGGAACCCUUGACUCCGUUUUCAUAUAGAUUGGCCUCCAGGGCAGACAGCAGAUUCCAGGAACCAGGAGGUUGUUUGCUGUACUCUCCCUUGUACAGUUAGCUGUCUCUAGUGCCUGAAUGCACUAAUUGUCCUUUGGGUAUGGAUGAGGUAAUGAAGGAAAGGGAUGCUGGGAAGAGAGGCCACAUGAGAAGGUUAGUGUGGGCGUAAGACACAAUGCAGAGGAUUUGUGUUUGUGCCAUCUGCCUGCUUCUAUGAUUCAUCUGGGUCUGUGCACCCUUGUAAUCAGCAGGCUGCAGCGAACUAAGUGUUGCUUGCUAAAGAAAAAUGAAAGCUGGGACUUCAGCAGGGAGGAAAGUAUAUGCCUCACCGUGAUGAGUGCAAACAAACACGCAGCAUCGGGAAAGCCACACAGAAUGAAGCUCUGAGAAGACUGUUAGUGUUUCCCCCCCACGUCCCAGGGGAAAAGGUGUAAGUAACAGAAUUAUUCCAAUUGGUCAAGAAUUCAUCUUUCCUGUCACUUGUCUCUUGUGGGAGUUCAAACUUGCUCAGUCCCACCCAUUUUGAUUGAAAGUGAAAAGAAGGACAUUUUAAUUUAAGAGCAGAAGAUGGAACUUGAGAGCAGAACAAAUUUGGCAAAUGUAAAUUCUUAUCCAAAACCCAUGCUUCCUGUACUUGGCACCUUGUUUCCCUGAUUCUGCGUGAUGUCCAUCUCUUUUUCUCAUUGCAGUUUGAAUUCAGGCAUGUGUCUUUCCUCUCAGCUUCACUAUGCGUAAGAGGAUACUUGGCAUGAGUGAACUCAUCCUGGCUGAUAGGAAACACUUAUAAUUAGGCAAAGAAACUCAAAAGAACUGAAGCCCUUUUCCCUCUAUGAGCAUCUUUCACUAACUGCCCUAGGAGUUGGUGCCUACCGUUUGGAUUAGAUUUAGCUACGGGGCAGGAAAGGGUUAAAGGAGUUAGAAAGAAUUGAAAUGAAAAUGAAAACUUUUUUCCCUAUUAAGAUAGCAGAAG